This 497-nucleotide ribosomal RNA is filed under the name uncultured bacterium. RNAcentral describes it as "partial 16S ribosomal RNA". It matches the Rfam family "Bacterial small subunit ribosomal RNA", at positions 28 to 507 of the family's 1533-position model. The record is from RNAcentral.
GAUGAACGCUGGCGGCGUGCCUAAUACAUGCAAGUCGAGCGAACAGACGAGGAGCUUGCUCCUCUGACGUUAGCGGCGGACGGGUGAGUAACACGUGGAUAACCUACCUAUAAGACUGGGAUAACUUCGGGAAACCGGAGCUAAUACCGGAUAAUAUAUUGAACCGCAUGGUUCAAUAGUGAAAGACGGUUUUGCUGUCACUUAUAGAUGGAUCCGCGCCGCAUUAGCUAGUUGGUAAGGUAACGGCUUACCAAGGCAACGAUGCGUAGCCGACCUGGGAGGGUGAUCGGCCACACUGCAACUGAGACACGGUCCAGACUCCUACGGGAGGCAGCAGUAGGGAAUCUUCCGCAAUGGGCGAAAGCCUGACGGAGCAACGCCGCGUGAGUGAUGAAGGUCUUCGGAUCGUAAAACUCUGUUAUUAGGGAAGAACAAAUGUGUAAGUAACUAUGCACGUCUUGACGGUACCUAAUCAGAAAGCCACGGCUAACUACGUG